GCCCCCGUAGCCCAACCUGGCAGAGGCAACCGACUUAAAAUCGGUAAAGGUGCGGGUUCGACUCCCGCCGGGGGCA
Molecule: transfer RNA, 76 nt
Filed under: Candidatus Dormiibacterota bacterium
Lineage: Bacteria; Bacillati; Candidatus Dormiibacterota
Description: tRNA-Leu
Rfam family: tRNA
About the family: Transfer RNA (tRNA) molecules are approximately 80 nucleotides in length.
Source: RNAcentral